Molecule: transfer RNA, 74 nt
Filed under: Maioricimonas rarisocia
Lineage: Bacteria; Pseudomonadati; Planctomycetota; Planctomycetia; Planctomycetales; Planctomycetaceae
Description: Planctomycetes bacterium Mal4 tRNA-Glu
Rfam family: tRNA
About the family: Transfer RNA (tRNA) molecules are approximately 80 nucleotides in length. Their secondary structure includes four short double-helical elements and three loops (D, anti-codon, and T loops). Further hydrogen bonds mediate the characteristic L-shaped molecular structure. tRNAs have two regions of fundamental functional importance: the anti-codon, which is responsible for specific mRNA codon recognition, and the 3' end, to which the tRNAs corresponding amino acid is attached (by aminoacyl-tRNA synthetases). tRNAs cope with the degeneracy of the genetic code in two manners: having more than one tRNA (with a specific anti-codon) for a particular amino acid; and 'wobble' base-pairing, i.e. permitting non-standard base-pairing at the 3rd anti-codon position.
Source: RNAcentral
GGCGCGUUCGGCUUCUGGUGAGGCCAUCCGUCUUUCACACGGAUCAGGUCGGGUUCGAAUCCCACACGCGUCAC